UAGCCGUAAACGAUACUCGCUAGGUGUCGGCCACGGUGCGACCGUUGUCGGUGCCGUAGGGAAGCCGUGAAGCGAGCCACCUGGGAAGUACGGCCGCAAGGCUGAAACUUAAAGGAAUUGGCGGGGGAGCACAACAACGGGUGGAGCUUGCGGUUUAAUUGGAUUCAACGCCGGAAAUCUUACCGGGACCGACAGCAACAUGAAGGCCAAGCUGAAGACUUUGCCGGAUUAGCUGAGAGGUGGUGCAUGGCGUAG
This 255-nucleotide ribosomal RNA is filed under the name uncultured archaeon. RNAcentral describes it as "partial 16S ribosomal RNA". It matches the Rfam family "Archaeal small subunit ribosomal RNA", at positions 748 to 1002 of the family's 1478-position model. The record is from RNAcentral.